UACGGAGGGUGCGAGCGUUGUCCGGAAUCAUUGGGCGUAAAGGGCGCGUAGGUGGCUUCUUAAGCGUGCGGUGAAAGCCUGGGGCUCAACCCCGGGUCGGCCGUGCGAACUGGGGGGCUGGAGCACUGUAGAGGCAGGCGGAAUUCCGGGUGUAGCGGUGGAAUGCGUAGAUAUCUGGAGGAACACCGGUGGCGAAGGCGGCAUCCUGGACCGGUAUUGACGCUGAGGCGCGAAAGCUAGGGGAGCAAACGGG
This 253-nucleotide ribosomal RNA is filed under the name uncultured bacterium. RNAcentral's name for it is "partial 16S ribosomal RNA". It matches the Rfam family "Bacterial small subunit ribosomal RNA", at positions 524 to 776 of the family's 1533-position model. The record is from RNAcentral.